UACGUAGGGGGCAAGCGUUGUCCGGAUUUAUUGGGCGUAAAGCGCACGUAGGCGGCUUGGCAAGUCGGAUGUGAAAUCCCUCGGCUCAACCAAGGAAGUGCAUCCGAAACUGCUGAGCUUGAGUACUUAAGAGGAUCGCGGAAUUCCCGGUGUAGCGGUGAAAUGCGCAGAUAUCAGGAGGAACACCGAUGGCGAAGGCAGGUCUCUGGGCCACUACUGACGCUGAGAAGCGAAAGCAUGGGGAGCGAACAGG
RNAcentral lists this ribosomal RNA (253 nucleotides) under uncultured bacterium. RNAcentral describes it as "partial 16S ribosomal RNA". It matches the Rfam family "Bacterial small subunit ribosomal RNA", at positions 524 to 776 of the family's 1533-position model. The record is from RNAcentral.